UCUGACCCGCUAGCCCAAUCAAAAACAACAAAACACAGUAAUAAACCCAAAGACACUACCCCACAAACAAACCAUUUUUCCCCCUUAGUAUGGGCGACAGAAAAGGAACGGAGCAAUAGAGAAAGUACCGCAAGGGAAUGCUGAAAAAAAAUGAAAAAAACAAGUGAAGCCUAAAGAAGCAGAGACUACAACUCGUACCUUUUGCAUCAUGAUUUAGCCAGAAGAGGAGAUUGCGCUGUUAUCCCUAGGGUAACUCGGUUCAUUGAUCGGCGUUGCCGGAUCUUACUGGUCAGAAAUUCUGUUAAUUAGAGCUGUCGCUCUUGGUUGUGAAUGUAGUACAUUCGGUCCUUGCGGGGGUUUUUUAUUUCUCCGCGGUCGCCCCAACCAAAGACAUUAGGGCAGGGCUCAGUUGACUCGUCCUGUUGUUGAGGGUAUUAGUGCUGAUCUGCUUUAGUGUCUAAAGCUCCAUAGGGUCUUCUCGUCUUAUGUGCUCAUCCCCGCUUCUGCACGGGGAGAUCAAUUUCAUUGACUUGAAAGAGGAGACAGUUAAGCCCUCGUUAUGCCAUUCAUACAGGUCCCCAUUUAAAAGACAAGUGAUUGCGCUACCUUCGCACGGUCAAAAUACCGCGGCCGUUAAACAUUAGUCACAGGGCAGGCGGGACCUCUUAUACAAGAGGCGAUGUUUUUGGUAAACAGGCGAGGCUGUUUGCCGAGUUCCUUCUCUUUCUUUUAGUCUUUCC
This 740-nucleotide ribosomal RNA is filed under the name Mycteroperca rubra (mottled grouper). RNAcentral describes it as "partial 16S ribosomal RNA". Lineage: Eukaryota; Metazoa; Chordata; Actinopteri; Perciformes; Serranidae. The record is from RNAcentral.